AAUAGAUACCCUGGUAGUCCACGCCGUAAACGGUGGGUACUAGGUGUGGGUUUCCUUCCUUUAGGGAUCCGUGCCGUAGCUAACGCAUUAAGUACCCCGCCUGGGGAGUACGGCCGCAAGGCUAAAACUCAAAGGAAUUGACGGGGGGCCCGCACAAGCGGCGGAGCAUGUGGAUUAAUUCGAUGCAACGCGAAGAACCUUACCUGGGUUCGACAUGCACAGGACGCAUCCAGAGAUGGGUGUUCCCUUGUGGCCUGUGUGCAGGUGGUGCAUGGCUGUCGUCAGCUCGUGUCGUGAGAUGUUGGGUUAAGUCCCGCAACGAGCGCAACCCUUGUCUCAUGUUGCCAGCACGUUAUGGUGGGGACUCGUGAGAGACUGCCGGGGUCAACUCGGAGGAAGGUGGGGAUGACGUCAAGUCAUCAUGCCCCUUAUGUCCAGGGCUUCACACAUGCUACAAUGGCCGGUACAAAGGGCUGCGAUCCCGUGAGGGUUAGCGAAUCUUUUAAAGCCGGUCUCAGUUCGGAUCGGGGU
Molecule: ribosomal RNA, 531 nt
Filed under: uncultured bacterium
Lineage: Bacteria
Description: bacterial SSU rRNA
Rfam family: Bacterial small subunit ribosomal RNA
Source: RNAcentral